AACGAACGCUGGCGGCAGGCUUAACACAUGCAAGUCGAACGCCCCGCAAGGGUAGUGGCACACGGGUGAGUAACGCGUGGGAACAUACCCUCUUCUACGCAAUAGCUCUCGGAAACUGGAAUUAAUAUCGUAUACGCCCUACGCGGGAAAGAUUUAUCGGGGAAGGAUUGGCCCGCGUUGGAUUAGCUAGUUGGUGGGGUAAAGGCCUACCAAGGCGACGAUCCAUAGCUGGUCUGAGAGGAUGAUCAGCCACAUUGGGACUGAGACACGGCCCAAACUCCUACGGGAGGCAGCAGUGGGGAAUAUUGGACAAUGGGCGCAAGCCUGAUCCAGCCAUGCCGCGUGAGUGAUGAAGGCCUUAGGGUUGUAAAGCUCUUUCACCGAUGAAGAUAAUGACGGUAGUCGGAGAGGAAGCCCCGGCUAACUUCGUG
RNAcentral lists this ribosomal RNA (431 nucleotides) under uncultured bacterium. Its description in RNAcentral is "partial 16S ribosomal RNA". It matches the Rfam family "Bacterial small subunit ribosomal RNA", at positions 29 to 507 of the family's 1533-position model. The record is from RNAcentral.